Molecule: long non-coding RNA, 527 nt
Organism: Chenopodium quinoa (quinoa)
Lineage: Eukaryota; Viridiplantae; Streptophyta; Magnoliopsida; Caryophyllales; Amaranthaceae
Exons: 3
Source: RefSeq, a predicted model, not a curated record
AAGAUAACAAGUAAACCUCAAGGUCUUACAAAGGGGUCUAAUUACAAGUCCUUAGAGACAAUAUACAAAACUCAACCUCAGAUUCAGAAUUCUGCACCCGUUGCUGCUCCUAAAAAAAACGGUCAAGCGAAGACUAAGUGUUUCUAAGGAAUUUCCUUUUGAACAAACCCCAAUGAUUCUGAUCAAGCGAACAACAAAUAAAAAAAGCUGGAAAACAUGCUAAUGUUGAGGCAGCUAUCCCUGCUGAUGAUGAAUUGCUAAGGAAUUUUGUUGGCUGCUCUUCCUUAUCUGAAUUGGCUUGACAUAGAGUUUGUGGGCUCCUAUUCUCCAUCCGACUAUCAUAUUAAUGCUCUAUGUGUAGAUGCUACGUCCUAGACUGAUUUAAAAAUCAAUAUCCUAUGGUGAUGUAAUAUUAAAUUACCAAUUUGAACUUCUAAUCUGUUUGUAAUAAAAUCUAUGUAAUGAAUGGUACGUUGUUAUUUAAGGUUCUGUAGAACUACAAACAUCUCGUGUUGUAUCGAACGAUU